UGGUGGACUGAGAAGAAGGCAGCUCUGUACCAUGCUGCCGUCCACUGGUUAAGGCCUCCGAAAGUGAAGGGUCGCCGGGGCAGAGGAUGCCCCUCUGCCACCGUCAGAGGGGCAGUGCCCUGCUGGCUGACACUGA
Molecule: small nucleolar RNA, 136 nt
Filed under: Echinops telfairi (small Madagascar hedgehog)
Lineage: Eukaryota; Metazoa; Chordata; Mammalia; Afrosoricida; Tenrecidae
Description: Small nucleolar RNA SNORA47 (ENSETEG00000026569.1)
Rfam family: Small nucleolar RNA SNORA47
Source: RNAcentral